Molecule: ribosomal RNA, 503 nt
Filed under: uncultured bacterium
Lineage: Bacteria
Description: bacterial SSU rRNA
Rfam family: Bacterial small subunit ribosomal RNA
Source: RNAcentral
AGAGUUUGAUCAUGGCUCAGGAUGAACGCUAGCGGCAGGGCUUAAUACAUGCAAGUCGAGGGGCAGCACGGUUAGCAAUAACUGGUGGCGACCGGCGCACGGGUGCGUAACACGUAUACAAUCUACCUUAAACAGGGGGAUAGCCUUUCGAAAGAGAGAUUAAUACCCCGUAAUAAAUUGAACGGCAUCGUUUGAUUUUGAAAGCUCCGGCGGUUUGAGAUGAGUAUGCGUCUGAUUAGCUAGUUGGUGAGGUAACGGCUCACCAAGGCGACGAUCAGUAGGGGAUCUGAGAGGACUAACCCCACACUGGUACUGAGACACGGACCAGACUCCUACGGGAGGCAGCAGUAAGGAAUAUUGGUCAAUGGAGGCAACUCUGAACCAGCCAUGCCGCGUGCAGGAUGACGGCCCUAUGGGUUGUAAACUGCUUUUAUACAAGAGAAAACCCUGGUACGUGUACCAGGUUGAUAGUAUUGUAAGAAUAAGCAUCGGCUAACUUCGUG